The sequence is a small nuclear RNA, 163 nucleotides long. Its record names the gene U4. It matches the Rfam family "U4 spliceosomal RNA". Rfam says of the family: U4 small nuclear RNA (U4 snRNA) is a component of the major U2-dependent spliceosome. The structure of U4 snRNA from yeast and human has been reported. The record is from Ensembl.
GAUUUUAUGAAAUUAUAUUUUUGAUAAUAAAAUUAAAAAAAAAAAAAAAAAAAAAGGUCUAUCCGAGGCGCGAUUAUUGCUAGUUGAAAACUUUACCCAAUACCCCGCCUGGACGACUUGAAAAAUAGUCGGCUAUGGCGAUUUUUGACAGUCUCUCAGGAGA